Molecule: long non-coding RNA, 1254 nt
Organism: Lycium barbarum (goji berry)
Lineage: Eukaryota; Viridiplantae; Streptophyta; Magnoliopsida; Solanales; Solanaceae
Exons: 2
Source: RefSeq, a predicted model, not a curated record
GCCUCACUUAAAGGCCAAGUAGUGCAAAAUACGACAUUCGAGAGUUGGUCUCCUUGGUUUUCUACCACCGUCCCAUGAGCAUCAUCGUAAUCUUGAUUCAAAGUUGGGGAGAAAAUUCAUAUCCUCCAAGUGGAGGGAAAAGUGGUAAAGUUAACUCAUGUUUUCUUAAUUUUUAGAUAGUUUUUUUUUAAAAUUAUUUUUUAUCAUUCUACCAAGUUUCAUAAUUUUGGAAUUGAUUUGGAUGGAAUUUGGGGGUAUUGGAGUGGCUGCACAGUGCUUUUUUUUUUUUUUUGCACAAAACUGCUUUGCUAUUUCAAUUAUGUCCUCAGUGGUCACAAGUGCAGUUUGUACUUAUUUUUGGUUGAGAAGGCUUGUGGUUUGACCCAGGUAAGUUUCUAAAACGUUUUAAGUGGUCGUUUGGUGCAUGGCCAAAAUUAUCCCGGGAUUAUAAUCCCGGGACUAAUUUAUCUCAUAUCUUGGGACUAUUUUAUACCAUCUCCUAGAUGGUAUAAAAUAAUUCUAGAAUAAGUGGGAUAUGCUGGGAUAUUCCAGCUUAUACCAUGGGAUGCAUUUUAUACUUUGUUUGGUAAAAGAUAUAAAUUUAUCACAGGAUAAAUUUAUACCUUCUACCAAACAUGGUACAAAAAAUUAGUGCUGGGAUAUCACAACUUAUACCAUGCAUCAAACGACCCCUAAAACUUUAAUGACUAAAUCACAACCCUCCCCUUAGUUCCUACAACUGGUAAGAAACAAAAACAACGCACACACCCAUCACAGCCGCAGGGCACCAACGUUACAGUCCAGGUUUAUAUGAUUGAGAAGUGAUCAUGAAGAAAUCAAGUGAAAAACAAGUCAAAAAGAGGUCAAAGUGAAGAAAAUGACAAAAAUGGCUAAAACUGGACAGUUUUCAAAAUUCGAAAAUAUGGGGCUGUUUUGGUCAUAUUUUGAUGUGGAAAUAGUGGGGAGCUAUAAAAGCAACACUUGAAGGAGAAAAUCAUCAUCUUUGGCCAUCUUCCAAGCUUGGAGCAAGAAACUACAUUAGGGUUUGAAGAUUUAGAGGCACACAAUGAGAAAUUUUUUACCCAUUUCUUCAACUCUUGCUUUGUAAUGCAUAUCUAAGUGUGUAGAAUUUUAUUUCAUCACUUUGGUCUUGUUUUUGGACAUCUUAAUUUGCAAAGUUGGAUUAUAUCUCUUGUUAUGCUUAUGUAUUGGAUGAUUUUUAUUUCUAAUGAAGUGGGUUAGUGUUUCUCUAUU